This 305-nucleotide ribosomal RNA is filed under the name uncultured bacterium. Its description in RNAcentral is "bacterial SSU rRNA". It matches the Rfam family "Bacterial small subunit ribosomal RNA", at positions 333 to 652 of the family's 1533-position model. The record is from RNAcentral.
GGACUCCUACGGGGCGCAGCAGUGGGGAAUAUUGGGCAAUGGGCGCAAGCCUGACCCAGCAACGCCGCGUGAAGGAAGAAGGCUUUCGGGUUGUAAACUUCUUUUGUCAGGGACGAAGCAAGUGACGGUACCUGACGAAUAAGCCACGGCUAACUACGUGCCGGCAGCCGCGGUAAUACGUAGGUGGCAAGCGUUAUCCGGAUUUAUUGGGUGUAAAGGGUGUGUAGGCGGGAAUGCAAGUCAGACGUGAAAACUAUGGGCUCAACCCAUAGCCUGCAUUUGAAACUUUAUUUCUUGAGUGCUGG